UACGUAGGUGGCAAGCGUUGUCCGGAUUUAUUGGGUUUAAAGGGUGCGUAGGUGGCGCUGUAAGUCGGGUGUGAAAUUUCGGAGCUUAACUCCGAAACUGCAUUCGAUACUGCGGUGCUCGAGGACUGGAGAGGAGACUGGAAUUCAUGGUGUAGCAGUGAAAUGCGUAGAGAUCAUGAGGAAGACCAGUGGCGAAGGCGGGUCUCUGGACAGUUCCUGACACUGAGGCACGAAGGCCAGGGGAGCAAACGGG
This 253-nucleotide ribosomal RNA is filed under the name uncultured bacterium. RNAcentral's name for it is "partial 16S ribosomal RNA". It matches the Rfam family "Bacterial small subunit ribosomal RNA", at positions 524 to 776 of the family's 1533-position model. The record is from RNAcentral.